RNAcentral lists this ribosomal RNA (481 nucleotides) under uncultured bacterium. Its description in RNAcentral is "partial 16S ribosomal RNA". It matches the Rfam family "Bacterial small subunit ribosomal RNA", at positions 28 to 507 of the family's 1533-position model. The record is from RNAcentral.
GACGAACGUUGGCGGCGUGCUUAAUACAUGCAAGUCAACUGAAGCAGUGGUAGCAAUAUCGCUGUGGAGGUGGCGCACGGGUGAGUAACACGUAGGUAAUCUGCCUUCAGGUCUGGCAUAACUCCGGGAAACCGGGGCUAAUAGCAGAUGAUGCAGCGGCUCGACAUCGAGACAGUUGUUAAAGCUAUGGCGCCUGAAGAUGAGCCUGCGUCUGAUUAGCUAGUUGGCGGGGUAACGGCCCACCAAGGCAACGAUCAGUAGCUGGUCUGAGAGGAUGAUCAGCCACACUGGAACUGAGACGCGGUCCAGACUCCUACGGGAGGCAGCAGUAAGGAAUAUUGCUCAAUGGGAGAAAUCCUGAAGCAGCAACGCCGCGUGAGGGACGAAGGGCUUUUGCUUGUAAACCUCUGUAGUGAGAGAAAAAAAUCCCAAUCUUUGGGACAUGAUGGUAUCUCAAAAGUAAGCCCCGGCUAACUACGUG